This 374-nucleotide ribosomal RNA is filed under the name uncultured myxomycete. RNAcentral's name for it is "SSU rRNA". It matches the Rfam family "Eukaryotic small subunit ribosomal RNA", at positions 76 to 405 of the family's 1831-position model. Lineage: Eukaryota; Evosea; Eumycetozoa. The record is from RNAcentral.
UCUCUCUGAAUCUGCGAACGGCUCCGCAAACCAGUUGUAAACUAUAGCAAGCAAUCCCACGGUUGGUUCGGCCUGGCUGUGGGUAAAAUGGAUAACCAUGGUAAUUCUGAGGCUAAUACAAGAACGUACUCCCUGGCUUACCGGCAACGGAAGGCUGGGGAGCGUGCAACGUAUCGUAAGACAAACCGGGAAUGGGUGCACGCUUGGACCGCGCUAAAAACAGAUCUUGGUGAACCUUCGGGUAAGCUUUGGCCUGAGCGGCUCUUGCUGUGUGCUUCUGACCUAUCAACUAGAUGGCAGCGUAACGGACAUGCUAUGGUUACAACGGGUACAGAGGAUUAGGGUUCGAUCCUGGAGAGUGGGCCUGAGAGAUU